This 72-nucleotide transfer RNA is filed under the name Mus musculus (house mouse). Its description in RNAcentral is "tRNA-Ser". The record is from RNAcentral. Lineage: Eukaryota; Metazoa; Chordata; Mammalia; Rodentia; Muridae.
GCAGGAGAGAGCUCAGGGGUUAAAGCACCAACUACUCUUCAGAGGACCUGGGUUCAAUUCCCAGCAGCUGCA